Molecule: ribosomal RNA, 253 nt
Filed under: uncultured bacterium
Lineage: Bacteria
Description: partial 16S ribosomal RNA
Rfam family: Bacterial small subunit ribosomal RNA
Source: RNAcentral
UACAGAGGUCUCGAGCGUUAGGCGGAAUCACUGGGCUUAAAGCGUGUGUAGGCGGACUGGUAAGUACCUUGUGAAAUCCCACGGCUCAACCGUGGAACUGCUUGGUAUACUGCUUGUCUUGUGCAACCUAGGGGCGAGCGGAACAGAUGGUGGAGCGGUGAAAUGCGUAGAUAUCAUCUGGAACGCCAAUGGCGAAGGCAGCUCGCUGGGACGGUACUGACGCUGAGACGCGAAAGCGUGGGGAGCAAACAGG